AUGCAAGAUCUUUCGUGAAUAUCUAGUUAUUUUAAUAAUAAUUAGUUUUUAUUUUAGUCGCAGUAAUUGUUAUUAAUAAUUAAGGAAACUUCGAAUUAGAAAUACUAUGAAGUAUUGGUAAAAUUUGUGCCAGCAACCGCGAUUAUACUAAUAAUACAAGUAAUUUUUUUAGCAAAUAAAAUAAAAAAUAAAAUAUAAAAAAAAAAAAAUAAAAAUAAAUAAAAAAUAAUAAAAGGAUAGAUACCCUAUAUAAAUAAAGGAUUAGAUACCCUAUUAUUUAAAACGUAAAAUUUAUAAUAGAGUAGUAAUAGUUAUGAACUUGAAACUUAAAAAAUUUGGCGGUAUUUUAGUCUAUUCAGAGGAACCUGUUCUGUAAUCGAUAAUCCACGAUGGACCUCACUUAAAUUUGUUAUCAGUUUAUAUACCGUCGUUAUCAGGGAAUUUUAGAAGAAUUCCAAUUCCCAAAAAUUUUGAAUAAAAUUUAUAUCAGAUCAAGGUGUAGCUUAUAUUUAAGAAGAAAUGGGUUACAAUAAAUUUAUUUAUAUGGAUUUCUUUUUGAAACAAGAAUGAAAGUGGAUUUGAUAGUAAAAUUUUAAAGAUAAAAAAUUUGAUUAUAGCUCUAAAAUAUGCACACAUCGCCCGUCACUCUUAUUAAUAAGGUAAGAUAAGUCGUAACACAGUAGAUGUA
Molecule: ribosomal RNA, 688 nt
Filed under: Myopa buccata
Lineage: Eukaryota; Metazoa; Arthropoda; Insecta; Diptera; Conopidae
Description: partial 12S ribosomal RNA
Source: RNAcentral